ACUCAAAUGAAUUGACGGGGGCUCACACAAGCGGUGGAGCAUGUGGAUCAAUUCGAAGCAACGCGAAGAACCUUACCUGGGUUUGACAUGUACGGAUGCUCUCGGUGAAAGCUGAGUAGGCUGCCUUCGGGUGAAACGUACACAGGUGCUGCAUGGCUGUCGUCAGCUCGUGCUGUGAAGUGUCGGGUUAAGUCCCUUAACGAGCGAAACCCUUAUCGCUAGUUGCCAGCGGGUCAUGCCGGGAACUCUAGUGAGACUGCCGGCGUUAAGCCGGAGGAAGGCGGGGACGACGUCAAGUCAUCAUGGCCUUUAUGUCCAGGGUGUCACACGUGCUACAAUGGGGCGUACAGAGCGAUGCAAGAGCGCAAGCUGGAGCAAAUCGCAGAAAGCGUCCCUCAGUUCGGAUCGAGGUCUGCAACCCGACCUCGUGAAGCUGGAAUCGCUAGUAAUCGCGUAUCAGCCAUGACGCGGUGAAUAUGUUCCUGAGCCUUGUACACACCGCCCGU
RNAcentral lists this ribosomal RNA (506 nucleotides) under uncultured bacterium. RNAcentral describes it as "partial 16S ribosomal RNA". It matches the Rfam family "Bacterial small subunit ribosomal RNA", at positions 899 to 1397 of the family's 1533-position model. The record is from RNAcentral.